CGGCCGCGGGCAGUACUGGAAACUCCUUCGGGGAGGGAGGCUGCGUUUCUGCGUGAUUUAUCGGUCACUAGAAUUGAGGAAGGACAACCGGUUUGGUGCUGGCAGUUUGUAUAGUUAAGUUACAUAUUUUAGACAUCAUAGUAGGAUUAUGAAUGACAGGAAUGUCGUGGACACAUCCAUCCAUCUUCUAAGCAGAUAUGCUGGAAGGAUUGCGGAUUGCGAUUAAGAUGGAAACGUCCAGAGUGCCCAGUUUUCCUGGUGUUCCCAGAACAAUAUCCCAGUACUAGGACUACAACUAAGAAUAAUAAG
Long non-coding RNA from Brienomyrus brachyistius, 309 nucleotides. RefSeq lists it as uncharacterized. The transcript has 3 exons. The record is from RefSeq and is a predicted model, not a curated record. Lineage: Eukaryota; Metazoa; Chordata; Actinopteri; Osteoglossiformes; Mormyridae.